Molecule: ribosomal RNA, 255 nt
Filed under: uncultured bacterium
Lineage: Bacteria
Description: partial 16S ribosomal RNA
Rfam family: Bacterial small subunit ribosomal RNA
Source: RNAcentral
UACGUAGGGUGCAAGCGUUAAUCGGAAUUACUGGGCGUAAAGCGUGCGCAGGCGGCUUUGCAAGACAGAUGUGAAAUCCCCGGGCUUAACCUGGGAACUGCAUUUGUGACUGCAUCGCUGGAGUGCGGCAGAGGGGGAUGGAAUUCCGCGUGUAGCAGUGAAAUGCGUAGAUAUGCGGAGGAACACCGAUGGCGAAGGCAAUCCCCUGGGCCUGCACUGACGCUCAUGCACGAAAGCGUGGGGAGCGAAACAAGG